This 472-nucleotide ribosomal RNA is filed under the name uncultured bacterium. RNAcentral describes it as "bacterial SSU rRNA". It matches the Rfam family "Bacterial small subunit ribosomal RNA", at positions 355 to 825 of the family's 1533-position model. The record is from RNAcentral.
UGGGGAAUUUUGGACAAUGGGCGCAAGCCUGAUCCAGCCAUACCGCGUGAGUGAAGAAGGCCUUCGGGUUGUAAAGCUCUUUCAGACGGAAAGAAACGGUUACGGCUAAUACCCGUGACUAAUGACGGUACCGUAAGAAGAAGCACCGGCUAACUACGUGCCAGCAGCCGCGGUAAUACGUAGGGUGCGAGCGUUAAUCGGAAUUACUGGGCGUAAAGCGUGCGCAGGCGGCGACAUAAGACAGAUGUGAAAUCCCCGGGCUCAACCUGGGAACUGCGUUUGUGACUGUGUUGCUAGAGUGUAGCAGAGGGGGGUGGAAUUCCACGUGUAGCAGUGAAAUGCGUAGAGAUGUGGAGGAACACCGAUGGCGAAGGCAGCCCCCUGGGUUAACACUGACGCUCAUGCACGAAAGCGUGGGGAGCAAACAGGAUUAGAUACCCAAGUAGUCCCUGAGCGGGCUGGCAAGGCGCAU